This is a long non-coding RNA of Mustela erminea (ermine), 1968 nucleotides long. RefSeq lists it as uncharacterized. The record is from RefSeq and is a predicted model, not a curated record. The transcript is spliced from 4 exons. NCBI's taxonomy places the organism in Eukaryota, Metazoa, Chordata, Mammalia, Carnivora, Mustelidae.
AAAAAAAGCUUUUUUUUCUAAAUAGUUUUUUUUCCUUUUUGUGAUCAUGCUGAUUUCUGUACCCUGAGGUUUCUACUCCCACUUAUUCUGAUGAUGGGUAAAUUACUAUAGCAGUAACUUAGACCAGCAUUUUGAACUCAAGCAUUAAUUUGUGCCUCAUUUUAUUCUUCAGGUACCUCUUCAAAACCUUAAGAAAUCUGUAAGCAGUAAGUUUUUUGAGGGAUUGAAAAUGCCAUUUGAAAAUCUAUUCCAUGGGGUGUGUCUCCAGAAAGGUGAAUAUUCUCACAUAAAGAGAAAAUGUUUAUACACAAUUUCAUCAGGUUCAAAGGCUCCCUGAAGCUUAUUAACCGCAGGUUAAAUAUUUCUGUUGUGAGACAAAUAAACCGUAGGCCAACCUAGAACUACGGAGUUUAUACAGAAAAUGUGGCUGAGCGAGGUGCCUGAUCCCCGGGACACAAAUAUCUGUUUAGGUAAAAGGCAGGACAGAAAUACAUUUAACAUUUAGUUAUUGUUGGGAAGUUGAAUAACUGUCUUCCUCUUAUGUCUUUACAGUAUAACAUCAUUAUUAAAAAUGCUGUGGAUCUUAAAUUGAGAAAAAGUUUACCAUUAGAGCUUCAAAUUUAUAAGACCAAUCACAGAGAAGCUGAUUCGAUCUUCCUAAAGCCCAUGAAUAAUACCAGGUCUUAACAUUGACAGAAAUAACUUAGAGAAAAAAAAAAUCUAAGUGUUGAUUGACUGUCUAUCCUAUGACGGUUUUCACCCUGUUGGUUGCUAUCGGUCUAAAUAGCCACUUCACCCACUCCAGACCAUAAGCUCCACACAGAUCAUGUCAUUGGAUACUCCAGAAAAUGAAUAUGUCUUGAAGUGCAUGGAGUGUGUGAUUAAGUCCCUGAGUAGGGUACCCAAGGUAGAUAACAACGAUAGGCCCCUCUCUCCUCUUUGAUUCUCUGCAUGGAGGAAAAGAUGGGGUGAAAGUGUACAAAGGUAUGUACAUGUGACAAAGAAGGUGGUAGAAACACAAAUAAUGGCAUACAUUCAAUGCAAUGAUUAGAAUUCUCUACAUGUAAUUCCUUCCGAAAAGCAUUAACAAAGGCUCUUCAAAGCUGAGUCUUUUUAUCAGCCAUAGAACUUUAUAUCCUAUGAGCACCUGGGUUGUUAAAAUGUGUGUGAUAGGAAAGGAAGUGACCCCUGCCAACCUGUGCCUCAAAUAGGCUUGUUUCAUGCUGGGAGAAAACCAUUUGGCCACACACCGAAGAAACGAUGCACCCUUUGAAUCCUUCCCCUGACAGAUGUGGAAGGUAUGAUUUAUCACCCCAGGCCAAGAACUUUUGUGUGACUGGGAUUAUACUAAACAUUCCAGACAUCUCUGCGUCAAGACACAACCUGUGGCUCUACUGCAGGGAUGUGGGGAGAACAGAAAACAUAUGUUUACAGUUACCAAAGUAGCAGUGGAGGGUUGUAGACGACUUGUCAGAGCUAGAAAAGCUGGGCAUGGAGUCUCAGAAACCAAAGGAGGUUGCCUGGCUAGGAUGGGAACAUGCAGGGCCAUGAAAAGCAUGGGGAAAAAAAAAAAAAGCCAUUAAAUGAAAACCAGUCCUUGUGCCCAUAUGAUAGCGUUCCUGCUGGUAGACUUGGCCUCCAGGGCUGUCUUCUGGGCUCUAGGCCCUAAUAGCAGACUGAGGGACAGAUGGGCUGUCAGAGCAAUUCAACCAACUAGGGCCUGUUUCAUGGAGUAGGAAGAGCAAGAACUGGUUUUCUGUCCACCCAUCUCUCCUUUCUUUCCACACAGAACUGAGAAUCAUUUCCCAAAAUGCACAUCUGGUCAUGUUACUCUAUUUUGAAAUCCUUUCCUGGCUUUUCUGUCAGGGUGAAGCCUGGACUGCUGAAUGCAGCCUCUCUGCUCUACACAAUGGGGCUCUACGGACUUCUCCGGUGACCUCGCUUAUCCUUUCCUCUCACCUCCCUGUA